ACCGUCUCCUUUAGCCAGUUAACAAAUAGGAUAAUAGAUGGACAAAAUAGGGAUAAUAAAUGGAGGAGAGAGGUAUAAAAGAUGGACAUCAGGCGGCCAGCAUAGGCCUAGUCAGCUCCAAACCAACAAACGUGCAGGGCUAGGGCAAAGGCUAAACCGAGACAUUCAUGAAGAUAUCUUAAUUAGGGUUAGGGAUGAAUACCCCCAUAUUGUCAACUACUAUCUUUCGUGUUCUAUCAACACGGUUCAUUCCAACUCCUCACUUUAACUGAUGCAGUUAACUUCUUUGAGUACUACCUUGGUUUAAUAAAUAUUAACAAGAACAACAAUGAUAUCAAAACAGAUUCAGGGAUAAGAGACAGCAGCCCUUCAAAGGAGAAACAAACCCCCUGAACACAUCUUCGAACAAGGCUUUGAGUUUUUUCAUUAUGGGAAAGGCUGCUGGCUUCCCUGCAAGACAGACGGGUAGAACCAGACUAGCAGGCUCCCUAAACACCCAUUCAAUUCUGUUUCAAUAAGCAGAGGACAGGUGUGUCCUGUCAACGUUCAAUCAACAGGGCAUCAGGUAGCAAUGUCAAACAAUGACAGCGGUGUAUAACCUAUAGAGGGAGCCAUCGAAUGCAAAGCAAUCUACAAUCUGUGUUUUUUUCAUCCUUUAAAUGGAUAUGUGUUUUGUUCCCACUUCCCAGGCAGACCGCGCUGUGAGGCUGCAGGUGUGUCUGGAGAUGCUGGGCGUGGAGGAAGAGACGCUGGAGGGAGUUCCGGCUCCCCUGCGCCUCCCAGUGGCUGUGACCCGCUACUGGCUGAGGAGGGCCAGCCCUGAGCCGAGGCUCGUCGAAGCUCUGCUGAUGGUCAUGGUCCAAGGAGAACUGAUGAGACAAAAUAAAGAAACAACAGGUCGGUAGCACAUGAUGUAACUUUAAUCACUCACUCAUUCACUUACUAACUCCUCCUUACCUGUGUGAGUGUUUGUGUGUGUAUGCCUGUUUGUAUGUCUGUGUGUGGUGUGUGUAGAUGGGCAGCAUUAUACCAAACACAGUGAACAGCUUCCAGAUGGUGUCGUGGCUCACAGCUUCAACCAAUGGCAGGCCUGCCUGAAGGACGCCUCCCAGCUUAACCUGCUGCUCUGCAAGCCCCUCCCUGAACCCCACUACGCCUGGUUGUACCAGGGCAGGCUGGUGCAUCACCGGCAGAAGCAGCUCAAGUGGAGGAAACCAGAGGACAUCGUACAGGACGACCAGUUCAGGGGACUGUACAGGAGGCUCCUGG
This is a long non-coding RNA of Gadus macrocephalus (Pacific cod), 1269 nucleotides long. RefSeq lists it as uncharacterized. The transcript is spliced from 2 exons. The record is from RefSeq and is a predicted model, not a curated record. NCBI's taxonomy places the organism in Eukaryota, Metazoa, Chordata, Actinopteri, Gadiformes, Gadidae.